CCUACGGGAGGCAGCAGUGGGGAAUAUUGCACAAUGGGGGAAACCCUGAUGUAGCGACGCCGCGUGAGUGAAGAAGGAUUUCGGUAUGUAAAGCCCUGUCAGCAGGGAAGAAAAUGACGGUACGUGACCAUGAAGCACCGGCUAACUACGUGCCAGGAGCCGCGGUAAUACGUAGGGGGCCAGCGUUAUCCGGAUUUACUGGGGGUAAAGGGGGCGUAGUCGGCAGGGCAAGUCUGGAGGGAAAGGCCGGGGCUCAAACCCCGGACUGCUCUGGAAACUGGCAGGCUGGAGUGCAGGAGAGGUAAGUGGAAUUGCUAGUGUAGCGGUGAAAUGCGUAGAUAUUAGGAGGAACACCAGUGGCGAAGGCGGCUUACUGGACUGUAACUGACGUUGAGGCUCGAAAGCGUGGGGAGCAAACAGGAUUAGAUACCCGAGUAGUC
RNAcentral lists this ribosomal RNA (440 nucleotides) under uncultured bacterium. RNAcentral describes it as "partial 16S ribosomal RNA". It matches the Rfam family "Bacterial small subunit ribosomal RNA", at positions 338 to 795 of the family's 1533-position model. The record is from RNAcentral.